AUGGAGGCGCUGAACGGCCCCGCACCGGGGCCCGGCGAAGCGCUGCGGCCGCCGCCGCCCUCGCCCGGCCACCACCACCCGCACGCCGAGAAGAAGCGGCCGCACCGCGCCCCGUCGCCCGCCAGACCCUUCCUCAAGGACCUGCACGCCCGCGCCGCCGCCAAGCCGCCGCCCGCGCCCCCCAAGUCCCCCGGCCUCCCCGCCCGGGCGCCCUCGUCGCCGCACCCGGGCGCGCACCAGCCCUCGGCGGGGCUGCUGUCGGCGCCGGGCCGCCUCUCCCGCCGCCCCGCCGCCCCGGGGGGCAAGGCGGCCGCCGUCCCCGUCACGGCCGUCGGCAGGGCGGGUGCCAAGGCCGCCCCCUGCGCCAAGCGGGCGGCCCGCGGUCCGGAGCCGGGGCCCGGCGGCCGGGGCGCGGGGCGGCAGCCCGGCGGGGAGGCGGCCCCGCCGCCCCGCCGCCCCGGGGGGCAAGGCGGCCGCCGUCCCCGUCACGGCCGUCGGCAGGGCGGGUGCCAAGGCCGCCCCCUGCGCCAAGCGGGCGGCCCGCGGUCCGGAGCCGGGGCCCGGCGGCCGGGGCGCGGGGCGGCAGCCCGGCGGGGAGGCGGCCCCGCCGCCCGGCAAGGGCAGGAAGGCGAAGCGGGGAGCGGCGGCGGGCAGCGGCCAUGCGGCGGCGGCGCUGGCCCGCGUUGGCCACACGGACAGCAGCUCCGACCUCUCCGACUGCCCCUCCGAGCCGCUCUCCGACGAGCAGCGCCUGGCCCCGGCCGCCAGCAGCGACGCCGAGUCCGGCACCGGCUCCAGCGACCGGGAGCGGGAGCAGCCCGCCGCUCAUCCCGCCGCCCAUCCCGCCGCCGAGCAGCCCCGCACCGGCCCCGGCCCCGGGCGCGGAGCUCCGGCGGCCCUCAGCUCCCGCGGGGAUGCGCUCCCUGCGGCCACGGGCGGGGCGAGAGCCCCGAGCCGCGGGGAGCCGCCGCCGGCAGCCCCGGAGGAGCUGCAGCGGGAGGUGGAGGAGCUGCGCUCGGAGAACGAGUACCUCAAGGUGAGCAUCGCCCGCGGCAGGGAUGGGAAGGGCAGGAGGCGGCAGCGGUGGAAACGCGGCCCCCUCCUGCCCGGGAAUGCGGGGACCGCGCUGGAAGGGGGGAAGGAUAUUCGCGCUGCCUGGAGUCACCUCCCAUGGGACCCCUGCCCCCGCUGGACCAAAUGCCGAAUUUUACCCGCAGGAGGGAAAUAGGGGCAGGCAGAACCAGCCGGGACCCUCGGCACCCUCCUCCCCCGCCCCCCCGAAGCGGGAGCGCGGCGCGGCUUGAGGACAGCUAA
This 1314-nucleotide long non-coding RNA is filed under the name Zonotrichia albicollis (white-throated sparrow). Its description in RNAcentral is "lncRNA (ENSZALG00000017149.1)". Lineage: Eukaryota; Metazoa; Chordata; Aves; Passeriformes; Passerellidae. The record is from RNAcentral.